CCAGAUUUGUGUAUGGUAUUAGAUUAUUUCAUUCGAUCUGAAACCUAAAUAUUAGAAAAUACAUCAAAGAUGUUAUUAUCAAUCUGAAUCGGUUUAGUUUCUUCAAGUUGAAAAACAGAGUUAUAGUUUUCACGAUUUCUGCAAACUGAGUUUGGGGAAUUGCAAUAAACAAUCUAGCAAGCUAAGAAGAUACUUGCCACAGUAGUAGAAUAACCAUUAGUUCUAAGAUGGAUCGACAACUGAAAAAAAGCUUCAAGCUUAUAUUGAUGAAAUGUUAGAACUAAAACCUUUCACACCUAGAUCAAAUGUCGACUAAAAUUUUUUAUAAUUACCCCCAAAAAAUAAAUCAUUCCAAAAAUCCAAUAAAUGUAGAAUGACAAACUUACCAUAAUGUGUAUUGACAAAACCAUUUGUUUUACUGGAAUUACUGAUGAUCAAGUUAUCCAUUAUGCCAUUUUCAUGU
Long non-coding RNA from Harmonia axyridis, 463 nucleotides. RefSeq lists it as uncharacterized. The record is from RefSeq and is a predicted model, not a curated record. NCBI's taxonomy places the organism in Eukaryota, Metazoa, Arthropoda, Insecta, Coleoptera, Coccinellidae. The transcript is spliced from 3 exons.